UGCCGGGAGGGUGGAUUUCUGGAGCAGAUGGAGCUGAAUUAGGGUUGUACAACAAUUGAUGAAGAAGAAAAGACAAAAAUGAGGAGAAGAAAUUGGGGGUUUGAUUAGAGAUUGAGGUCUGUAAACAGUGGGUUUGUGUUGGAUUUGAAGAAUACACACAAGAAGAGAAGGCUGCAGCUGAGAUUACACAGUUGCACUUUUCCUGUGAUGUUUUGGGCGAAAUUGUGACAGAGAAGAAGAAGAGAUAAGUGUAUGUGAUGCUGGUAAUGAAGCUACAGAUGGUGCAGGUUUGAAGUGAUUGCAGAGGGCUAGAAACUGCUGAAGUUGCAGCUGCAGAAGUGGAUUGAGUCAGAGAUGGGUUCGAUGCUGUUUCCAUGGUGAUUUCCAAGAAACCAACGAAGAUUGAAGCUGAUUAAGCUUAAUGGAACUGCAGGUGGUGAUGUAUUGGCUAGGCAGGGGAGAUGUUUAUGAUGUUGAAACUUACGGGGAAGAAGUUGAUAUGAACUGAUGAUGCUGUGGAGAAGACAAGGCUGUAGAAGGCAGUGAAGAUUAAAAAGAGUAUGGACUGAAUGGAGCAGUGAGACGUUGACUGAACUGAGGCUAAAAGCUGAGUUACGAGGUUUUGCAGAAGUCAGGAUAUAGCAGUUGCAGCUGAGAUUGGUGCUGGUGAUUGUCAUGGGUUCUUGCAGGUGGUCUUGCUACUGUGCACAGAUGCUCUGGUGAUGCUACUUUGCUGCCGAAAUGGUCAGCGAUGGAGUUUGGCUAGAGCCAGAGGCAAGGAGUUAGAAGAAGCUGAUGUUGUUGCUUGUGGUUCUUAUGCAUGGAAGUGAUGUUUCAAAACAUAAAUGGAGAGUGGGUUGAGAACUCAAGUUGAGAUGGGUUAUCCUGCCGCUAGGGGUUGUGAGCUGCACAUAAUGUUCGUUGUUUAGAUGGAGUUGUCUGUGGCUCUAGUGGUGCUGUAAUGGAACUGGAUAUUGUGUUGAUGCUUGUAGCCGUGGUGUUGGUUCAACUGGUUGUAGAAGUGGUGGUAUAUGUAGGAGUACCUGGUGAUAGAAGUACAAGGAUUUAGAAGUCAACAGAUAGAGAGAUACUAGUGUUGCCGCUGAGGUUACAGGGAAGCUUGGAUGCAGUUGCAGUUUUGGCUGUGAGGAGUUAAGUUAGGAGAAGAUACUGAGAUGGAUUUGCUGUUGCAGAAUGGUUCAGUGAAAUGAGGCAGAAAUGAAUGAAUUGAACUGCAAUGGGUUUGUGAAUGUGCCAUUGAGUUGUGAAGUUGAAAAGGAAUUACAAAAGUGGGUUAGAAGUAUAUAACAACUUACGCUUUUCACUCUUGAAGAUUUUUGUUCAGCAUUUUGGUAUCUAAUGCAUCUCUGGUAGCAGGUAUAUGGAUGUGAUUCUUCAGGUUCUCUGCGUCGGUGGUGGUGUUCCUCCUGAUAUUUGAACAAAUGACCAGCUAGGCUCAUCAGCUUAUGAAAGGUCCCAAGUAGCAUGUUUCCGGAUAAAGGCCUACUAACUGUGUGAUCUGCACCGAAAAUAUGUGUUGAAGCAUAGCUCAGAGACUGAGCUUCAGUGGGAAUAUGGCAUAUUCUAGGAACUUGUAGGCUUUUCUUCCCUUUAACUAGGGUCAGUUUCAGAUGCCUUUGUGUUGGAUUGUACUUGAAGUUAAGUUUUAUGUAAACAUAGAACAUUGUAUGAAUCUCAACAUAAAAACAUUGUAUGUCAAUGAAUCAAUUAUAAUCA
Molecule: long non-coding RNA, 1737 nt
Organism: Papaver somniferum (opium poppy)
Lineage: Eukaryota; Viridiplantae; Streptophyta; Magnoliopsida; Ranunculales; Papaveraceae
Exons: 4
Source: RefSeq, a predicted model, not a curated record